AUUGAACGCUGGCGGCAGGCUUAACACAUGCAAGUCGAACGAUGACUCUCUAGCUUGCUAGAGAAGAUUAGUGGCGGACGGGUGAGUAACAUUUAGGAAUCUGCCUAGUAGUGGGGGAUAGCUCGGGGAAACUCGAAUUAAUACCGCAUACGACCUACGGGUGAAAGGGGGCGCAAGCUCUUGCUAUUAGAUGAGCCUAAAUCAGAUUAGCUAGUUGGUGGGGUAAAGGCCUACCAAGGCGACGGUCUGUAACUGGUCUGAGAGGAUGAUCAGUCACACCGGAACUGAGACACGGUCCGGACUCCUACGGGAGGCAGCAGUGGGGAAUAUUGGACAAUGGGGGCAACCCUGAUCCAGCCAUGCCGCGUGUGUGAAGAAGGCCUUUUGGUUGUAAAGCACUUUAAGCAGGGAGGAGAGGCUAAUGGUUAAUACCCAUUAGAUUAGACGUUACCUGCAGAAUAAGCACCGGCUAACUCUGUGCCAGCAGCCGCGGUAAUACAGAGGGUGCGAGCGUUAAUCGGAAUUACUGGGCGUAAAGCGAGUGUAGGUGGCUCAUUAAGUCACAUGUGAAAUCCCCGGGCUUAACCUGGGAACUGCAUGUGAUACUGGUGGUGCUAGAAUAUGUGAGAGGGAAGUAGAAUUCCAGGUGUAGCGGUGAAAUGCGUAGAGAUCUGGAGGAAUACCGAUGGCGAAGGCAGCUUCCUGGCAUAAUAUUGACACUGAGAUUCGAAAGCGUGGGUAGCAGACAGGAUUAGAUACCCUGGUAGUCCACGCCGUAAACGAUGUCUACUAGCCGUUGGGGUCCUUGAGACUUUAGUGGCGCAGUUAACGCGAUAAGUAGACCGCCUGGGGAGUACGGCCGCAAGGUUAAAACUCAAAUGAAUUGACGGGGGCCCGCACAAGCGGUGGAGCAUGUGGUUUAAUUCGAUGCAACGCGAAGAACCUUACCUGGUCUUGACAUAGUGAGAAUCUUUCAGAGAUGAGAGAGUGCCUUUGGGAACUCACAUACAGGUGCUGCAUGGCUGUCGUCAGCUCGUGUCGUGAGAUGUUGGGUUAAGUCCCGCAACGAGCGCAACCCUUUUCCUUAUUUGCCAGCGGGUUAAGCCGGGAACUUUAAGGAUACUGCCAGUGACAAACUGGAGGAAGGCGGGGACGACGUCAAGUCAUCAUGGCCCUUACGACCAGGGCUACACACGUGCUACAAUGGUAGGUACAGAGGGUUGCUACACAGCGAUGUGAUGCUAAUCUCAAAAAGCCUAUCGUAGUCCGGAUUGGAGUCUGCAACUCGACUCCAUGAAGUCGGAAUCGCUAGUAAUCGCAGAUCAGAAUGCUGCGGUGAAUACGUUCCCGGGCCU
RNAcentral lists this ribosomal RNA (1355 nucleotides) under uncultured bacterium. Its description in RNAcentral is "bacterial SSU rRNA". It matches the Rfam family "Bacterial small subunit ribosomal RNA", at positions 28 to 1381 of the family's 1533-position model. The record is from RNAcentral.